UGGGGAAUUUUGGACAAUGGGCGAAAGCCUGAUCCAGCAAUGCCGCGUGUGUGAAGAAGGCCUUCGGGUUGUAAAGCACUUUUGUCCGGAAAGAAAUCCUUGGCUCUAAUACAGUCGGGGGAUGACGGUACCGGAAGAAUAAGCACCGGCUAACUACGUGCCAGCAGCCGCGGUAAUACGUAGGGUGCAAGCGUUAAUCGGAAUUACUGGGCGUAAAGCGUGCGCAGGCGGUUUGCUAAGACCGAUGUGAAAUCCCGGGCUCAACCUGGGAACUGCAUUGGUGACUGGCAGGCUAGAGUAUGGCAGAGGGGGGUAGAAUUCCACGUGUAGCAGUGAAAUGCGUAGAGAUGUGGAGGAAUACCGAUGGCGAAGGCAGCCCCCUGGGCCAAUACUGACGCUCAUGCACGAAAGCGUGGGGAGCAAACAGGAUUAGAUACCCUGGUAGUCCACGCCCUAAACGAUGUCAACUAGUUGUUGGGGAUUCAUUUCCUAGUAACGUAGCUAACGCGUGAAGUUGACCGCCUGGGGAGUACGGUCGCAAGAUUAAAACUC
Molecule: ribosomal RNA, 552 nt
Filed under: uncultured bacterium
Lineage: Bacteria
Description: partial 16S ribosomal RNA
Rfam family: Bacterial small subunit ribosomal RNA
Source: RNAcentral